Molecule: ribosomal RNA, 253 nt
Filed under: uncultured bacterium
Lineage: Bacteria
Description: partial 16S ribosomal RNA
Rfam family: Bacterial small subunit ribosomal RNA
Source: RNAcentral
UACAGAGGUCCCAAGCGUUGUUCGGAUUCAUUGGGCGUAAAGGGUGUGUAGGUGGCGCCGUAAGUCGGGUGUGAAAUCUCGGGGCUUAACUCCGAAACUGCAUUCGAUACUGCGGUGCUUGAGGACUGGAGAGGAGACUGGAAUUUACGGUGUAGCGGUGAAAUGCGUAGAUAUCAGGAGGAACACCGAUGGCGAAGGCAGGUCUCUGGGCAUUAACUGACGCUGAGGAGCGAAAGCAUGGGGAGCGAACAGG